GUCGCGCCAGAAUGUCGGAAAGCGCAUUGAGUACAUCUCCAAGGAGCUGAAGAGCUCCACCGACACUCUGGAGAGCAUGGAGAAGGACAUGCAGAAGCAUCAGGAAACCAUGGCCAAGUACCAACAGCAAUGGCAGGUGGCGGCGGCAAUGAAGUGAAAACCCUCUACAGCCACGCACAUUUAAUUUAUAACUUAUUUUGGGACAGCUUGGUGAUAAAACUCUCCUGGCACGACCGCUUUAUCUUAAAAUGAAUAAAAACCAUGAAACCCCGAACACCUAA
Molecule: small RNA, 281 nt
Filed under: Drosophila yakuba
Lineage: Eukaryota; Metazoa; Arthropoda; Insecta; Diptera; Drosophilidae
Description: GE28633
Source: RNAcentral